GCGCGGGAUUGGGGAAGCCGCAAGCACGGCCGGCGGCGAUGUGGCGCGGGAGGGGGCGUGUCAUUUCGGUGGAGCAUGCGCGGGAGCGAUGGCAGGGGGCGCUGCCGCCAGAGGUAGGGUUAGGGGGAUGAGACGCAGGAGGGGAUUUCGUGCGAGAGAGGAGAAGAGAACGCUUGGCCUUUUCUUUUUUUCUUUUUUUUUAAGACAAUGCUUGGCUUCUUGACGGAUUGACUAACGUGGACUCACGGUGGUGGUACUCUGGAACCAAAAAAGUGAAUAGUGAUGGUAUUUUGGAAAGCUUGAUUUUUUUAGUGGUAUUUUGGAGUCUCAGGUUUCCCUUAGUGGUACUGUGUCAAUUUUCUCAUUUUUGUUUGCGUUUUGUACUUUUCUCCUGUAAAAAAAAGUUGCCUGACCUACUAGCCGCGUCGGGUAGACCUGCGGGUCUGGCAGACCCGAGUCGGGUCCUCGUCUGGUAGAAUGUCAGACCCGGAUGUCGGGGCCGGGUCCGGGUCGCGGUUUCGGGAAGCAAAAGGAGUAGAAGGAGGAGCGGGAGAGCGAUGCGGGUACCGCGUUAGAUGCUCCGGUGGAGAUGAGGCGCCCAAGGAGGGAGGAGGAAGGGGCCUCGGAGCAACGACGCUUGAAGUUACGUAACCUCCGUCACCUC
Molecule: long non-coding RNA, 664 nt
Filed under: Brachypodium distachyon (stiff brome)
Lineage: Eukaryota; Viridiplantae; Streptophyta; Magnoliopsida; Poales; Poaceae
Description: long non-coding RNA (BDIS_LNC003744)
Source: RNAcentral